AGGAUGAUCAGCCACACUGGGACUGAGACACGGCCCAGACUCCUACGGGAGGCAGCAGUGGGGAAUCUUGCGCAAUGGGCGAAAGCCUGACGCAGCAACGCCGCGUGGGGGAUGACGGCCCUCGGGUUGUAAACCCCUUUCAGCAGGAACGAAUCUGACGGUACCUGCAGAAGAAGGCCCGGCCAACUACGUGCCAGCAGCCGCGGUAACACGUAGGGGCCAAGCGUUGUCCGGAUUUAUUGGGCGUAAAGAGCUCGUAGGCGGUUGGGUAAGUCGGGUGUGAAAACUCCAGGCUCAACUUGGAGACGCCACCCGAUACUGCUCUGACUUGAGUUCGGUAGGGGAGUGGGGAAUUCCUGGUGUAGCGGUGAAAUGCGCAGAUAUCAGGAGGAACACCGGUGGCGAAGGCGGUUCUCUGGGCAUUCCCUGACGCUGAGGAGCGAAAGUGUGGGGAGCGAACAGGAUUAGAUACCCUGGUAGUCCACACCGUAAACGUUGGGCGCUAGGUGUGGGACCUAUCCAACGGGUUCCGUGCCGCAGCUAACGCAUUA
RNAcentral lists this ribosomal RNA (551 nucleotides) under uncultured Actinomycetes bacterium. Its description in RNAcentral is "bacterial SSU rRNA". It matches the Rfam family "Bacterial small subunit ribosomal RNA", at positions 297 to 862 of the family's 1533-position model. The record is from RNAcentral. Lineage: Bacteria; Bacillati; Actinomycetota; Actinomycetes.